GGUGAGUAACACGUGGGUAACCUGCCUGUAAGACUGGGAUAACUCCGGGAAACCGGGGCUAAUACCGGAUGGUUGUUUGAACCGCAUGGUUCAAACAUAAAAGGUGGCUUCGGCUACCACUUACAGAUGGACCCGCGGCGCAUUAGCUAGUUGGUGAGGUAACGGCUCACCAAGGCGACGAUGCGUAGCCGACCUGAGAGGGUGAUCGGCCACACUGGGACUGAGACACGGCCCAGACUCCUACGGGAGGCAGCAGUAGGGAAUCUUCCGCAAUGGACGAAAGUCUGACGGAGCAACGCCGCGUGAGUGAUGAAGGUUUUCGGAUCGUAAAGCUCUGUUGUUAGGGAAGAACAAGUACCGUUCGAAUAGGGCGGUACCUUGACGGUACCUAACCAGAAAGCCACGGCUAACUACGUGCCAGCAGCCGCGGUAAUACGUAGGUGGCAAGCGUUGUCCGGAAUUAUUGGGCGUAAAGGGCUCGCAGGCGGUUUCUUAAGUCUGAUGUGAAAGCCCCCGGCUCAACCGGGGAGGGUCAUUGGAAACUGGGGAACUUGAGUGCANAAGANGAGAGUGGAAUUCCACGUGUAGCGGUGAAAUGCGUANNGAUGUGGAGGAACACCAGUGGCGAANGCGACUCUCUGGUCUGUAACUGACGCUGANGAGCGAAAGCGUGGGGAGCGAACAGGAUUANAUACCCUGGUAGUCCACGCC
RNAcentral lists this ribosomal RNA (711 nucleotides) under uncultured bacterium. RNAcentral describes it as "bacterial SSU rRNA". It matches the Rfam family "Bacterial small subunit ribosomal RNA", at positions 105 to 801 of the family's 1533-position model. The record is from RNAcentral.